RNAcentral lists this ribosomal RNA (890 nucleotides) under uncultured marine group I thaumarchaeote. Its description in RNAcentral is "SSU rRNA". It matches the Rfam family "Archaeal small subunit ribosomal RNA", at positions 23 to 922 of the family's 1478-position model. Lineage: Archaea; Thermoproteati; Nitrososphaerota. The record is from RNAcentral.
CUGACUGCUAUCGGAUUGAUACUAAGCCAUGCGAGUCUUUGUAGUAAUACAAGGCAGACGGCUCAGUAACACGUAGUCAACCUACCCUAUGGACGAGAAUAAUCUCGGGAAACUGAGCAUAAUUCUCGAUAGAUCAUAAUGCCUGGAAUGGUUUAUGUUCCAAAUGAUUUAUCGCCGUAGGAUGGGACUGCGGCCUAUCAGUUUGUUGGUGAGGUAAUGGCCCACCAAGACUAUUACAGGUACGGGCUCUGAGAGGAGUAGCCCGGAGAUGGGUACUGAGACACGGACCCAGGCCCUAUGGGGCGCAGCAGGCGAGAAAACUUUGCAAUGUGCGAAAGCACGACAAGGUUAAUCCGAGUGGUUUCUGCUAAAGGAACCUUUUGUUAGUCCUAAAAACACUAACGAAUAAGGGGUGGGCAAGUUCUGGUGUCAGCCGCCGCGGUAAAACCAGCACCCCAAGUGGUCAGGAUGAUUAUUGGGCCUAAAGCAUCCGUAGCCUGCUCUGUAAGUUUUCGGUUAAAUCUGUAUGCUCAACAUACAGGCCGCCGGGAAUACUGCAGGGCUAGGGAGUGGGAGAGGUAGACGGUACUCGGGAGGAAGUGGUAAAAUGCUUUGAUCUUUCGAUGACCACCUGUGGCGAAGGCGGUCUACCAGAACACGUCCGACGGUGAGGGAUGAAAGCUGGGGGAGCAAACCGGAUUAGAUACCCGGGUAGUCCCAGCCGUAAACUAUGCAAACUCAGUGAUGCAUUGGCUUGUGGCCAAUGCAGUGUUGCAGGGAAGCCGUUAAGUUUGCCGCCUGGGAAGUACGUACGCAAGUAUGAAACUUAAAGGAUUGGCGGGGGAGCACCACAAGGGUGAAGCCUGCGGUUCAUUGGAGUCACCGCCGGA